RNAcentral lists this ribosomal RNA (492 nucleotides) under uncultured bacterium. RNAcentral describes it as "partial 16S ribosomal RNA". It matches the Rfam family "Bacterial small subunit ribosomal RNA", at positions 29 to 507 of the family's 1533-position model. The record is from RNAcentral.
AGUGAACGCUGGCGGUAGGCCUAACACAUGCAAGUCGAACGGCAGCACAGUAAGAGCUUGCUCUUACGGGUGGCGAGUGGCGGACGGGUGAGGAAUACAUCGGAAUCUACUUUUUCGUGGGGGAUAACGUAGGGAAACUUACGCUAAUACCGCAUACGACCUACGGGGGAAAGCAGGGGAUCUUCGGACCUUGCGCGAUUGAAUGAGCCGAUGUCGGAUUAGCUAGUUGGCGGGGUAAAGGCCCACCAAGGCGACGAUCCGUAGCUGGUCUGAGAGGAUGAUCACCCACACUGGAACUGAGACACGGUCCAGACUCCUACGGGAGGCAGCAGUGGGGAAUAUUGGACAAAGGGCGCAAGCCUGAUCCAGCCAUACCGCGUGGGUGAAGAAGGCCUUCGGGUUGUAAAGCCCUUUUGUUGGGAAAGAAAAGCAGCAGGUUAAUACCCCGCUGUUCUGACGGUACCCAAAGAAUAAGCACCGGCUAACUUCGUG